CUGCGCGAGUGUGAGAGCGUCCCAGCCGUCCCUGACCCUAACCCCCAAAUCCCCAAUCCCUAACAUGCGCUCUCUAGUCUCUACUACUCAGUCACUCUCGCUCCCUCUUCUCCAAAUCCCCAAUCCCUAACUUGCGCACCCAAAUCUUCCCAAUCUCUCACUACUCAGUCGCUCUCGCUCCUCCGAAUCCCGGCGCCGAAGCCUUCCUCUUCGUGGAGACGCCACCCACUGACCCAGAAGGCAGCACAGCACUGACCCAGAAGAGAGAGCACAACACGACGCCGUCGCCCACUAACUCAACAGGGCAGCACAGCACCACGCCGUCGCCGUUGAGACGCCACCACCCAGCAGCGUUUCUGGGUUCUGGCCGAUCAUCAGUUCAAUCCAGCACCGCCCAGUCUCCCACUCAGCCUUCCUCCCAAGUCAAUAUGGAGACUGAGCCACCAAUUCAGGUUCUGAUUAAUACAACUUUGUGGCACUCACCCAAAAGUGAAGUAGUUUUUGUUACGACUUUAGGAGAUGGAGAACAAACAAGAUGGUGUAAGCAAUGGUGAUGGUGAUGUACUACAUGACAUUGAAAAUGAAGGUGUAUUGUUGGAUGGGAAGGGCGAAAUUCGGAGGAAUUGGUCGGAGUUUUUGGAAAGGAACAUGUCAUAUGCAGAGCCACUGCUUGUUAAAAGGACACACAACCUCCCAGAUUGCUAUAAUUGGUGCCAACCUCUGCCCUAUUGAAAGCCUUGAUUAUGAGUAAGCCAAAUUGGUUUGCGUUAAGAAGUUUAGCUAUUUUGUUGGAGAAGACACCAUAACUUUGCUAUCAGUUUAAUGACAAUUUAUUUUUAUUUUCAGUUGUAUUGAUUGUUGAACUAUUAAACUUCUUUAAUUGUCGUACUUGAAUUCUGUUGUCGUUAAAUUUCAUUAGAUCAAGACUUUGUUAGCUAUUGUGUAUUUCUGUUUGUCGAUUUCAAUGUUAUGACUUUGCAUAA
Non-coding RNA from Arachis ipaensis, 983 nucleotides. The record is from RefSeq and is a predicted model, not a curated record. NCBI's taxonomy places the organism in Eukaryota, Viridiplantae, Streptophyta, Magnoliopsida, Fabales, Fabaceae.